Molecule: long non-coding RNA, 285 nt
Filed under: Trifolium pratense (red clover)
Lineage: Eukaryota; Viridiplantae; Streptophyta; Magnoliopsida; Fabales; Fabaceae
Description: long non-coding RNA (TPRA_LNC000692)
Source: RNAcentral
GUUUUGAUUAAUGUAAUAAGCAAGUUGAGUUGGACACUUAUUGUUUCAUUUUUAUGUAUGUUCUCCAAAUUUAUCAAAUUUUGGAAUUGUUUAUGAUCUUGGCAUCUUAUUUGAUAUCUACUUUGAAUUUUGUCUCAAUAGGGAAAGUUAUAUCUGUUAUUCCUUCUUUCUGGUCUGUACUCAUUGCUCAUUGUUUUUUUCACUUCGAUCAUUGCUUAUUGUUUGAUGAUGUUUCUAUUAAUUUUUAAUUUAAUACAGGGGUUCAUUUUGAUCCCUUAAGCUAUA